GUCAGGAUAGCUCAGU
This 16-nucleotide transfer RNA is filed under the name Orchidantha fimbriata. RNAcentral describes it as "partial tRNA-Phe". Lineage: Eukaryota; Viridiplantae; Streptophyta; Magnoliopsida; Zingiberales; Lowiaceae. RNAcentral also lists the same sequence under 21 other names. The record is from RNAcentral.